GUGUUACAGUUUCUUACAGUGUUGAGUAGAGUUGCAUGCUGUACAGGUUUGUAGCCGAGGAGCAAUAGGUUCUGUCAUACAGCCUAGGUCUGCAGUAGGUUGUCCCAUUUAGGUUUGUGUAAGGACACUCUUUGAUGUGUACACAUGAAGAAAAUUGCCUAAUGACACAUUUCUCCAAAUGUGUGUCUGUCAUUAAGCAACAGAUGACUGAUGUGAAAUGUCAGAAUAGGCCAAUCCAUAGAGAGAUUGUCUGGGGAUGGAGUAGGAGAUGGGUAAGCAGGAAUCAGGAAGACUGCUGUAGCACAGGGUUUCUCCCCCACUUCCCACCACUUUUUUCAAUAGAGACAGGGUCUUGCUCUGUUGCCCAGGCUGAAGUGUAGUGGCAUGAUCAUGGCUCACUGCAGCCUCUAACUCCUGGGAUCCUCCCACCUCAGCCUCCCAGGUGAGUGCCACCACACCCAGCUAAUCAAAAAAAUUUUUCUAGAGGCAGGGUCUCACUAUGUUGCCCAGGCCUGCAGAGAGUUUCUUUGGGGGGCAUUGAAAAUGUUCUAAAAUUAGAUUGUGGUGAUGUAAUUCAGUGUGUCUUUGAAUGAGUUUAAGUGUCAUGUCAAGUACAAUUGUCUUAUUCAGCUUAGAUUUUUGGAAUGUUUGAAGACAAACAUUGCCGUGGAGAUCACCUGGUAGCUUUCUGAGCAGGAGGCUGUGGACUGAGGGGAGCCAUCCACUCUGCCGAGAGCUUGAGAAAAUGAAGACUGAAAACAGAGCACUGGAGGUCGUUCAUACGCAAAAAUGCUUUCCCCUCGGAAUUGUCUCCAGCUCCUUCACCUCUUGGUUGUAGGUACAGACAGCAGAGACAAGAAGAGCCUUGAAGAGGCAGCCACACAUUGUGAUGAACAUCAAAUGGAUCCACGGCUCUGCGGAGGACCCAAGACAACUUGCUUGAAUUGUU
RNAcentral lists this long non-coding RNA (949 nucleotides) under Homo sapiens (human). RNAcentral describes it as "non-protein coding lnc-ERCC6L2-6:2". The record is from RNAcentral. Lineage: Eukaryota; Metazoa; Chordata; Mammalia; Primates; Hominidae.